Long non-coding RNA from Lynx canadensis (Canada lynx), 1289 nucleotides. RefSeq lists it as uncharacterized. Lineage: Eukaryota; Metazoa; Chordata; Mammalia; Carnivora; Felidae. The transcript has 2 exons. The record is from RefSeq and is a predicted model, not a curated record.
UGUAAACAUUAAUUUUCUUUCUUCAGUCUUAUUUUAUAGUUGUUGUUCUUUUAAAUAUGGUGCGUUGAGCACAUUCCUUAAACUUCCUUUUUCCCAGUGUCCCACUGAUAUUUUAAUGAUUGAAUUAAACCACAAUUCUGAAAAGCAGGAACAGAUGUUACCAUAUUAGUCAACUACCUUAAAGAGGAACAAAAGGACCUCAUUAGGUCUGUGAGUUUAAUGUAUGUUAGCAUGUGUGUGGGGAAGGAGGGGAGAAGAUCCAACCUAGGUGUGGAUAAAUCCGGAUUUGAAUGAUGUCAUCAGCGCUGUUUCUCCCAACAUUUUUAGUCUCUCUUUUCUUCUGUUUUAGCUUUGUUUUCAGCCAGGCAAUGAUGGCUGCCAAAGGAAAGGGGAUGGGAUAUUCUAGCCAGACCUGAGUCAUGUUGCCACCCCUGUUGGGUUGGGAAGAAUCACCUCCUAAAUCACAUGGAAUGUUUUCCCCACAGACAAGAGGGAUUAUGUUACUAGAAAAAGGGGGUGGGGAGAAAGCAUGUUGAACAGUAAAAUUACAGUUCACAGUCCACUACAGGUACCAUCAGAGGACCAGAAAUUUUGAAGAAGAUAGAAAGUUCACCGGAUCGGAUUGACAGCAUAAUCUCAGAAGGAACGGAACCCAAGAUACCAGAGACAGGGAUAAUCAGACAAUUGAGGAGAAUCAAGAUGGAAGAGGAUUAAGAUGAAUAAAGAACAACUGAUGUCAGAUAUAAUUCGAAGAAAACUUCAAAGAAAAACUGUAAUUGGUAUUUCAUUUAAGGUAUAAGAACAUGUUGCAAUCAUUAAUCAUAAUUUCACUGAAAAAGGGGCAGAGAACCAGAAGAGAUUUUGAAAAUUAUAAAAGAAAAAUUUUAAUGGAUUAGCUAAAUAACAAUUUAGCAUGAAUUAAGACUGAGUGGUGAUUUGGAGCUAAAGAGCAAAUCUCUGCAUAUAUGAAGCAAAAAAAAAAAAAAAAGAAAGAAAAAAACAAGAAAAAUAAAGAGAUAUGGAGAAUACCUCACAAAGUUUUCACAUCUGUAAGUUUGAAAAUACGAGUUCUAGAAGCAGAGAACAGGAACAGUGGGAAGGAGAAAAAUAAUGAAAGAAAUAAUUGAAGAAAAUGUCAUGAGCUGGAGAAACAUAAUGAAUUUCAGAUUGAAAGAGCCCAAGCAGGAUGAAUGGAAAAAGAGUUACAUCUAGACACAUCUGGUAAAAUUUCAGAACUCUAAGGAUAAACAGAAAAUCCCCAAUUAUUGCCAGAGAAAGGGAGUAAAAAA